AAAGCCGGGGCAACCUGGUGAGUAAAGUGGCGUACGGGUGAGUAACACGUGGAUCAUCUACCUUCUAGUGGGGAAUACCGUUGGGAAACCGACGACAAUACCGCAUAAGCUCGAGAGAGGAAAGCAGAAAUGCGCUGGAAGAGGAGUCCGCGGCUGAUUAGCUAGUUGGUGAGGUAACGGCCCACCAAGGCAUUGAUCAGUAGCCGGCCUGAGAGGGCACACGGCCACACUGGCACUGAAACACGGGCCAGACUCCUACGGGAGGCAGCAGUGGGGAAUCUUGCACAAUGGGGGAAACCCUGAUGCAGCGACGCCGCGUGAGCGAUGAAGCCCUUCGGGGUGUAAAGCUCUUUCGGCAGGGAAGAUUAUGACGGUACCUGCAGAAGCAGCUGCGGCUAACUACGUGCCAGCAGCCGCGGUAAUACGUAGGCAGCAAGCGUUGUUCGGAGUUACUGGGCGUAAAGGGUGUGUAGGCGGCCUUGUAAGUUUGGUGUGAAAUCUCCCGGCUUAACUGGGAGGGUGCGCUAAAGACUGCAGGGCUAGAGUACGGGAUGGGAGAGUAGAAUUCCUGGUGUAGCGGUGAAAUGCGUAGAUAUCAGGAGGAAUACCUGUGGUGUAGACGGCUCUCUGGACCGUAACUGACGCUGAGACACGAAAGCGUGGGUAGCAAACAGGAUUAGAUACCCUGGUAGUCCACGCCCUAAACGAUGCAUAUUUGGUGUGGGUCAUUCAGUUGAUCUGUGCCGGAGCUAACGCGUUAAAUAUGCCGCCUGGGGAGUACAGUCGCAAGGCUGAAACUCAAAGGAAUUGACGGGGGCCCGCACAAGCGGUGGAGCAUGUGGUUC
This 845-nucleotide ribosomal RNA is filed under the name uncultured Bacillota bacterium. RNAcentral's name for it is "bacterial SSU rRNA". It matches the Rfam family "Bacterial small subunit ribosomal RNA", at positions 70 to 947 of the family's 1533-position model. The record is from RNAcentral. Lineage: Bacteria; Bacillati; Bacillota.